GACGAACGCUGGCGGCGUGCUUAACACAUGCAAGUCGAACGGUGAAGCGCCUUCCUUUUUGGUGGGUGUGGAUGAGUGGCGAACGGGUGAGUAACACGUGAGUAACCUGCCCCCUUCUUCUGGAUAACCGCAUGAAAGUGUGGCUAAUACGGGAUAUUCUGGAUCUGUGGCAUGAUGGGUCUGGGAAAGAUUUUGUUUCGGUGGGGGAUGGGCUCGCGGCUUAUCAGCUUGUUGGUGGGGUGAUGGCCUACCAAGGCGGUGACGGGUAGCCGGCCUGGGAGGGUCGACCGUAAUACAGGGACGGCGAGACCGAGACGACUCCGACGGGAGGCAGUAGGGGGGAAUAUAGCACGAGGGGCGGCAGGCUGCUGCAGCGACGCGGCGUGGGGGAUGGAGUCCUGCGGGUAGUGGACCUCUUUCGCGAGUGAAGCAGGCCUGCCUAGUUUGUGGGUGGGUUGACGGUAGCUGGAGAAGAAGCGCCGGCUAACUACGUG
Molecule: ribosomal RNA, 494 nt
Filed under: uncultured bacterium
Lineage: Bacteria
Description: partial 16S ribosomal RNA
Rfam family: Bacterial small subunit ribosomal RNA
Source: RNAcentral